This 625-nucleotide ribosomal RNA is filed under the name uncultured bacterium. Its description in RNAcentral is "bacterial SSU rRNA". The stretch from base 1 to 535 matches the Rfam family "Bacterial small subunit ribosomal RNA", at positions 338 to 873 of the family's 1533-position model. The record is from RNAcentral.
CCUACGGGAGGCAGCAGUAGGGAAUCUUCCGCAAUGGACGCAAGUCUGACGGAGCAACGCCGCGUGAGUGAUGAAGGUUUUCGGAUCGUAAAGCUCUGUUGCCCUAGACGAACAGCAUGAGGAGUAACUGCCUUGUGUGUGACGGUAUAGGAGAAGAAAGCCCCGGCUAACUACGUGCCAGCAGCCGCGGUAAUACGUAGGGGGCAAGCGUUGUCCGGAAUUAUUGGGCGUAAAGCGCGCGCAGGCGGUCGUUUAAGUCUGGUGUUUAAGCCCGGGGCUCAACCCCGGUUCGCAUCGGAAACUGGAUGACUUGAGUGUAAGAGAGGAAAGUGGAAUUCCACGUGUAGCGGUGAAAUGCGUAGAGAUGUGGAGGAACACCAGUGGCGAAGGCGACUUUCUGGCUUAUAACUGACGCUGAGGCGCGAAAGCGUGGGGAGCAAACAGGAUUAGAUACCCUGGUAGUCCACGCCGUAAACGAUGCAUACUAGGUGUCGAGGAUUCGNUUNUCGUGCGAGUAACACAGUAGUAGUGCGCCGUGGGAGGUACGUCGUCGCGAGAGUAGAACGUUACGAAGGAAGUUAGACGGCGUUGAGACGUUGCCGACGGACGACGACGAGGGAGGAGG